RNAcentral lists this ribosomal RNA (437 nucleotides) under uncultured Acetivibrio sp. Its description in RNAcentral is "bacterial SSU rRNA". It matches the Rfam family "Bacterial small subunit ribosomal RNA", at positions 341 to 792 of the family's 1533-position model. The record is from RNAcentral. Lineage: Bacteria; Bacillati; Bacillota; Clostridia; Acetivibrionales; Acetivibrionaceae.
ACGGGAGGCAGCAGUGGGGAAUAUUGCGCAAUGGGGGGAACCCUGACGCAGCAACGCCGCGUGAAGGAAGAAGGCCUUCGGGUUGUAAACUUUUGUCGCAAGGGAAGAAGACAGUGACGGUACCUUGUGAGAAAGCCACGGCUAACUACGUGCCAGCAGCCGCGGUAAUACGUAGGUGGCGAGCGUUGUCCGGAUUUACUGGGUGUAAAGGGCGCGUAGGCGGGCUGUCAAGUCAGAUGUGAAAUGCCGGGGCUUAACUCCGGAGCUGCAUUUGAAACUGACAGUCUUGAGUAUCGGAGAGGAAAGCGGAAUUCCUAGUGUAGCGGUGAAAUGCGUAGAUAUUAGGAGGAACACCAGUGGCGAAGGCGGCUUUCUGGACGACAACUGACGCUGAGGCGCGAAAGUGUGGGGAGCAAACAGGAUUAGAUACCCUGGUA